This 371-nucleotide ribosomal RNA is filed under the name uncultured organism. RNAcentral describes it as "bacterial SSU rRNA". It matches the Rfam family "Bacterial small subunit ribosomal RNA", at positions 527 to 896 of the family's 1533-position model. The record is from RNAcentral.
CGGGGGUGCGAGCGUUGUCCGGAAUCACUGGGCGUAAAGGGCGCGUAGGUGGUUUGAUAAGGCUGUGGUGAAAGCCCGGGGCUCAACCCCGGGUCUGCCGUGGCGACUGUCAGACUUGAGGGCUCGAGAGGCAGACGGAAUUCCGGGUGUAGCGGUGGAAUGCGUAGAGAUCCGGAAGAAGACCGGUGGCGAAGGCGGUCUGCUGGCGAGUACCUGACACUGAGGCGCGACAGCGUGGGGAGCAAACAGGAUUAGAUACCCUGGUAGUCCACGCCGUAAACGAUGGGCACUAGGCGCUUGGGGGAGCGACCCUCUGAGGGCCGGCGCUAACGCAUGAAGUGCCCCGCCUGGGGAGUACGGCCGCAAGGCUG